GCCGGGAUGGUGAAAUUGGUAGACGCGCUAGAUUCAGGUUCUAGUGGGGGCAACUCUGUGCAGGUUCGAGUCCUGUUCCCGGCACCA
This 87-nucleotide transfer RNA is filed under the name bacterium. Its description in RNAcentral is "tRNA-Leu". It matches the Rfam family "tRNA". From Rfam's summary of the family: Transfer RNA (tRNA) molecules are approximately 80 nucleotides in length. Their secondary structure includes four short double-helical elements and three loops (D, anti-codon, and T loops). RNAcentral also lists the same sequence under 1 other name. The record is from RNAcentral.